RNAcentral lists this ribosomal RNA (160 nucleotides) under Camellia sinensis var. sinensis. RNAcentral's name for it is "5.8S ribosomal RNA". The record is from RNAcentral. Lineage: Eukaryota; Viridiplantae; Streptophyta; Magnoliopsida; Ericales; Theaceae.
UAACUCUCUCCAACCAAUAUCUCGGUUCUCUCUUGCAUGAAGAAAGAAGGGAAAUAAAUUCCUUGGUUGGAAUGAAAGACUCCCUCGCCCCAUCCAUUCUUUGAACGCAAGCUACCCCCGACCCCAUUCGUUUGGGGGCGGGCCCGCCUGGGCGUCCCUC